CCUACGGGUGGCAGCAGUGGGGGAUAUUGCACAAUGGGGGAAACCCUGAAGCAGCGACGCCGCGUGAGGGAAGAAGGAUUUCGGUAUGUAAAGCCCUAUUAGUAGGGAAGAAAAUGACAGUACCUGACGAAUAAGCACCGGCUAACUCCGUGCCAGCAGCCGCGGUAAUACGUAGGGGGCAAGCGUUAUCCGGAAUUACUGGGCGUAAAGGGAGCGUAGGCGGGUUUGGAAGUCUGGAGUGAAAGCCUAGGGCUCAACCCCGGGACUGCAUUUGAAACUGUGAUACUAGAGUACGGGAGGGGCAGGCGGAAUUCCUGGUGUAGCGGUGAAAUGCGUAGAGAUCAGGAGGAACACCGACGGCGAAGGCGGCCUGCUGGACCGAAACUGACGUUGAGGCGCGAAAGCGUGGGGAGCAAACAGGAUUAGAUACCCUAGUAGUC
RNAcentral lists this ribosomal RNA (440 nucleotides) under uncultured bacterium. RNAcentral's name for it is "partial 16S ribosomal RNA". It matches the Rfam family "Bacterial small subunit ribosomal RNA", at positions 338 to 795 of the family's 1533-position model. The record is from RNAcentral.